CCUACGGGAGGCAGCAGUGAGGAAUAUUGGUCAAUGGACGAGCGCCUGAACCAGCCAAGUAGCGUGAAGGAUGACUGCCCUACGGGUUGUAAACUUCUUUUAUAUAGGAAUAAAAUGAGGCACGUGUGGGUUUUUGUAUGUACUUUAUGAAUAAGGAUCGGCUAACUCCGUGCCAGCAGCCGCGGUAAUACGGAGGAUCCGAUCGUUAUCCGGAUUUAUUGGGUUUAAAGGGAGCGUAGAUGGAUUGUUAAGUCAGUUGUGAAAGUUUGCGGCUCAACCGUAAAAUUGCAAUUGAUACUGGCAGUCUUGAGUACAGUUGAGGUAGGCGGAAUUCGUGGUGUAGCGGUGAAAUGCUUAGAUAUCACGAAGAACUCCGAUUGCGAAGGCAGCUCACUAAACUGCCACUGACACUGAGGCUCGAAAGUGUGGGUAUCAAACAGGAUUAGAUACCCGGGUAGUC
This 460-nucleotide ribosomal RNA is filed under the name uncultured bacterium. RNAcentral describes it as "partial 16S ribosomal RNA". It matches the Rfam family "Bacterial small subunit ribosomal RNA", at positions 338 to 795 of the family's 1533-position model. The record is from RNAcentral.